GACGAACGCUGGCGGCGUGCCUAAUACAUGCAAGUUGAGCGAUGGAGAUUGGUGCUUGCACCAAUUUGAAGAGCAGCGAACGGGUGAGUAACGCGUGGGGAAUCUGCCUUUGAGCGGGGGACAACAUUUGGAAACGAAUGCUAAUACCGCAUAACAACUUUAAACAUAAGUUUUAAGUUUGAAAGAUGCAAUUGCAUCACUCAAAGAUGAUCCCGCGUUGUAUUAGCUAGUUGGUGAGGUAAAGGCUCACCAAGGCGAUGAUACAUAGCCGACCUGAGAGGGUGAUCGGCCACAUUGGGACUGAGACACGGCCCAAACUCCUACGGGAGGCAGCAGUAGGGAAUCUUCGGCAAUGGACGAAAGUCUGACCGAGCAACGCCGCGUGAGUGAAGAAGGUUUUCGGAUCGUAAAACUCUGUUGGUAGAGAAGAACGUUGGUGAGAGUGGAAAGCUCAUCAAGUGACGGUAACUACCCAGAAAGGGACGGCUAACUACGUG
RNAcentral lists this ribosomal RNA (497 nucleotides) under uncultured bacterium. Its description in RNAcentral is "partial 16S ribosomal RNA". It matches the Rfam family "Bacterial small subunit ribosomal RNA", at positions 28 to 507 of the family's 1533-position model. The record is from RNAcentral.